AACGAACGCUGGCGGCAGGCUUAACACAUGCAAGUCGAACGCCCCGCAAGGGGUGUGGCAGCCGGGUGAGUAACGCGUGGGAACAUACCCUUUCCUGCUGAAUAGCUCCGGGAAACUGGAAUUAAUACCUCAUACGCCCUACGGGGGAAAGAUUUAUCGGGGAAGGAUUGGCCCGCGUUGGAUUAGCUAGUUGGUGGGGUAAAGGCCUACCAAGGCGACGAUCCAUAGCUGGUCUGAGAGGAUGAUCAGCCACAUUGGGACUGAGACACGGCCCAAACUCCAACGGGAGGCAGCAGUGGGGAAUAUUGGACAAUGGGCGCAAGCCUGAUCCAGCCAUGCCGCGUGAGUGAUGAAGGCCUUAGGGUUGUAAAGCUCUUUCACCGAUGAAGAUAAUGACGGUAGUCGGAGAAGAAGCCCCGGCUAACUUCGUG
This 431-nucleotide ribosomal RNA is filed under the name uncultured bacterium. RNAcentral's name for it is "partial 16S ribosomal RNA". It matches the Rfam family "Bacterial small subunit ribosomal RNA", at positions 29 to 507 of the family's 1533-position model. The record is from RNAcentral.